GAUGAACGCUAGCGGCAGGCUUAACACAUGCAAGUCGAGGGGCAGCAUGAAGGUUAGCAAUAACCUUUGAUGGCGACCGGCGCAAGGGUGCGUAACGCGUGAGCAACUUGCCCGUUUCUGGGGAAUAACCGGUGGAAACGCCGACUAAUACCCCAUAGCAUCAGAAUGAGGCAUCUCAAUCUGAUUAAAGAAAUUCGGAAACGGAUAGGCUCGCGUGACAUUAGCUAGAUGGCGGGGUAACGGCCCACCAUGGCUACGAUGUCUAGGGGUUCUGAGAGGAAGGUCCCCCACACUGGAACUGAGACACGGUCCAGACUCCUACGGGAGGCAGCAGUGAGGAAUAUUGGGUCAAUGGUCUGACGACUGAACCAGCCAUGCCGCGUGAAGGUCACGGCCCUAUGGGUCUUAAACUUCUUUUGUAAGGGAGCAAUAAGGUGCACGUGUGCAUCGAUGAGAGUACCUUACGAAUAAGCAUCGGCUAACU
RNAcentral lists this ribosomal RNA (484 nucleotides) under uncultured bacterium. Its description in RNAcentral is "bacterial SSU rRNA". It matches the Rfam family "Bacterial small subunit ribosomal RNA", at positions 28 to 502 of the family's 1533-position model. The record is from RNAcentral.